UGAGACUUCAUCAAGAUAAAAAGCUUCUGCACGGUGAAGGAAACAAUCAGCAAAACUAAAAGGCAACCGGCAAUCGAUGGAAUAGGAGAAGAUAUUUGCAAAUGACGUAUCAGAUAAAGGGUUAGUAUCCAAAACCUAUAAAGAACUUAUCAAACUCAACACCC
This is a long non-coding RNA of Leopardus geoffroyi (Geoffroy's cat), 164 nucleotides long. RefSeq lists it as uncharacterized. The transcript has 2 exons. NCBI's taxonomy places the organism in Eukaryota, Metazoa, Chordata, Mammalia, Carnivora, Felidae. The record is from RefSeq and is a predicted model, not a curated record.